Long non-coding RNA from Synchiropus splendidus (mandarinfish), 1390 nucleotides. RefSeq lists it as uncharacterized. NCBI's taxonomy places the organism in Eukaryota, Metazoa, Chordata, Actinopteri, Syngnathiformes, Callionymidae. The transcript is spliced from 3 exons. The record is from RefSeq and is a predicted model, not a curated record.
GCCUGACACUCGGACUGCUGUCAGUCUGUGCCGCAGCUCGCCUGUGUCGUGGAGAGCCCACGUCCCUCUGUCACCCUUGUGCGCCGCCAGUAGGAGGGGAUUGUACUGAAGGGGGUGUCGCUCUCCGAGGGUGUGCUCCACUCCUCUCUUUUCCCUUCUUCCCGCCAUCACGGCCUCUUCUCUUCCAGACUGCCAUCCCGGAACGCCGCUCCAGUCAAGUCUCCAGUUCUGCCCCCUGGCGGCCUCCGGACGCACCAGCAGGGGUCGCUGUCCUCGGGGCUGAGAGACAGCCCGUCGGCCGCAGCUGCCCUCGCACCAGAACCAUGCGCCGGGUUUGGCCUGAGUCGGGCUGAGGUAGUAGGUUGUAUAGUUUGGUGGGUGUGACGUCACCCGGCUGCGGUGAUAACUAUACAGUCUAUUGCCUUCCCUGACUGGGCCGCACGCACGCGCUCCAGGAGCCACACGAACAGCCGUUCUUUCCUCAACUUUCUUUGGUGAUUCUGGAUCGGUUUAAAUAAAACAACCACCUUCAUGUCAUGUGCAUCAACUUUGUAAACGUGUAGAGAGUUGCAACAGAAAGUCGCUUGCGCCAUCUAGUGGCGAAGGCAACACCUCGCUUGUUUGGUUGCAUGUGCUCGAUCAUGUUUUCCCCCCGAUGAUUUUAUUGCCAUAUUAAUCGACCUGACUAAAUACUGAUGAUGGCAAAAAUGAUCUUAUAAUUAUUGUAUUUUACAUUGUAUUCAAGAACAUUGUUGUUAUAUUACCAGGAUUAUUUUAAAAAAUGUAUUUUAUUGACCACUUUACCGCCUGUAGCAACAAAGAAUGAUUAUUUAUUUUUGUAUUUUAACGUCGAUCAGUGAUAGUUCAGAUGCUACGUACAGAUGGAAAAUAUUGUAUUUUCAGGAAUCAUCUGGCAAAUAUGGUCACAUUAAAAGGUUUUAUAAUCACAUGGUCAUAAUGGAAAUGUUUCAAUUAUCAUGAGGCUUUUGUUCGAUCUGCUUUCAGUUCACUGCCAGGUGUGAGGACAAUUCAUUUCUCUUCUCAGAAUGAGCAGCUCACAUUGUGCUGUGUUUCCCCCGACAAGAGAAGUACAGAAGCUUGAAAAGAACAAGUGCUUCCAGUCGCUUACUCUUCGUGUUCACUGUUCAUGAUGGAGGUGAUUUUGCCUGUCAAGUCUGUGUAACUGUCUAAAUAAAACAGACUCACCAUCCGCGAAGGGACGCUCCAAGUCGGUCCUGCGCUCCUUAUUUGCUGCCUUGGUUUUGGAUCCAGUCCUCUGGGUUCCUCCCACUGACUCCCUGGGUCAGACACAAGAGAAGCAUCCAGGUUCAGUUUUGCGCUCAAUUUUGGACAGUAAGAAGUUCCAAUGUUUCAGUACAAAACAUAGUCU